CAUGAACUUACCGCUUUCCAAAUCAGAGCUUUUCCAGCCAAUCACCAGUGCUGGAGUGCAAGUCAUGGCCUUUGAAUGAUUCUCACACUCCUGCAAACAGCUGCUCCUGAAGUUACAUCUAAGUGAGGACAGAUCAAGAGAGUUAGAUGUGCUUCCUAAACAGUGCUGCAGUAGAAUGAGCAAGACUUUGCUGUGGUGCAAUUCCAAGCUAUAUAGAGAGAAAUGAAGAAAAGCAGGAGAUAAGAUUCCAUCUGUGCCUGUUUAAAACCAAAUACUUUGACCUGACUUACCCUGUAUCAC
Molecule: long non-coding RNA, 300 nt
Organism: Gymnogyps californianus (California condor)
Lineage: Eukaryota; Metazoa; Chordata; Aves; Accipitriformes; Cathartidae
Exons: 3
Source: RefSeq, a predicted model, not a curated record